This is a non-coding RNA of Pelobates cultripes (western spadefoot toad), 245 nucleotides long. NCBI's taxonomy places the organism in Eukaryota, Metazoa, Chordata, Amphibia, Anura, Pelobatidae. The record is from the annotation of a GenBank genome assembly.
UAGGGGGUAAGAUACACAGAAAGGGGUAAGACAUUCAAAAGAUGGGAUAAGACACAAAAGGGGUAAGAAAUUAAAAAGGAAGGUUUAGAGACACACAGGUAAAAAUUCAUUUUUUUGGGGGGGUGAGGCAAAACAUAAUCUUUACCUGUGUGUCUCUUAACCUCCCUUUUGAAUUUCUUACCGCUUUUGUGUCUUAUCCCAUCUUUUGAAUGUCUUACCCCUUUUUGUGUAUCUUACCCCCUUUU